Molecule: long non-coding RNA, 2221 nt
Organism: Bicyclus anynana (squinting bush brown)
Lineage: Eukaryota; Metazoa; Arthropoda; Insecta; Lepidoptera; Nymphalidae
Exons: 2
Source: RefSeq, a predicted model, not a curated record
ACUAGAGUGUUUUUGCAAUUCCGAUUAUGUAAGACAAAAGACUGCCACAAUGCCUAGUGAAAUCGUUCUAGGCGCAAAAUUUUAUCGACAUUAUGCGACUAAAUAAAAUACACCCUUUCCCGGUACUACUUACUACGGGUGCGGCAUACUUUUGCACAUAUUCGCAUUAUAUUUGAUUUUGCUGUUUGUCUGUGGUGAAGUGAAGUGCCAUAGUUUCUUUGUUGGUAAACAAAGCCGUAUUAAAAUAUUAAUAAAAAAAUUGGUUUCGUUGGAUCAAAGUACUUGCUACUGCUAGUUUUUUGUUUUCAAUAGAAGUAAUUAAUUAAUCAUUUUAUCGUAUACAUUUUUAUAAGUGUUAAUAGUUAAUUUAUCAAAGUAAACGGCCACUUUUACAUAAAACAUUAUCUACACGAAAGUUCUUCAAAGUUUUAUCGUCUGCCUAUGAUUAAUUUAAUGGUCGUUGUGAUAAUAUGUAAAGUAUAUUGUAUAGUGUUUUGUAUAUUAAAGUUCAUCGCUUGCUACUAAAGAUGUCCGGGAAACUCAAUGAUCGCCAAUUGAACUCUAAUUGGAGAUUGCAGAGUGCCACCCAAACUUGGCGAUGGGUUGUUUUGGAGGGCCUUUGGAAAGUCAGGCUACUAAAUAAACCUUCCGUGUUCGCGUCUGCCAGUUGCGUUGUAUCAACAUGAAGAUGUGGGCUCUAAACUUUGAGUGCCAGGGACUGACUAUGGAAGUCUCCAUGUCGCUGGUCACCAUUGAGGUGCAAAACACCUUGAAAAAAUUGGUGAUUCUGAAUCCUUCAUCUCUAUGAACGAUUCAUGAAGAAAGAAUUAAACAAACAUUUAAUGAACAGAUUUUUUAUAAGAUUAUUAUCAAUAAUGACAUUGCAUAUGAGAGAAAAUUGUCAAAUAUAAUUUCAUUUUAAUUUAAUAUAGUUAAUUAUGACAUCACUGUAUAUAAAGAAUAUGAUUAUUAUCAUUUGGUUAAUUUCAGUAUUACAUAGUAUUAGAUAAAAAUUUUAUUGUAAAAUUGCACAUCAAAAUAUGUUUUAUUAUCUAUUAUUAGGAGGAAAUAUUAUUUAACUAUUAUUAUUAUCCCUAAUAGCCCAGUGAAUGUGACCUCUGCCUCCAAUUCCGGAGGGUGUGGGUUCGAACCCGUUCCGGGGCACGCACCUCCAACUUUUGUUGAUGUCUGCCAAUGUAAUCCAAAUAUGCUGGCGCAUAUUCGGAUUACAUUGGCAGACAUCACAUAUGCAGAGAAUUAAGAGAAUUCUCUGGUAUGCAGGUUUCCUCACGAUGUUUUCCUUCACUGUUUGAGACACGUGAUAUUUAGUUUCUUAAAAUGCACACAACUGAAAAGUUGGAGGUGCGUGCCCCGGAACGGGUUCGACUCUUGUCAGAAUGAGAGGGGUUAGGCAUUGGCCUUCCCUUACCUUAUCAGCCGAUAGACGUCCACUGCUGGACAUAGGCCUCUUACAUGGACCUUCAAGCACAACGACCUUGAACCGCGAACAUCCAUCCAACCGACCAACCACGCUUUCCAGUGCGGGGUCUCCCGAGUGCGGGUAGGCACUAACCCCUCUUACUGGGGGAGACUCGAGCUCAGCAGUGAGCCGAAUAUGUGUUUAUAAUGAUGAUGAUGAUGAUGAUGAUGAUGAUUAUUUAAGUAAUUGUAAAAGAAAAAAUUGCAUACUACAUUAGUUGUUUAUCUAUACAAUUCAAUCAGUGAUAGCCCAGUGAUAGCCCAGUGGAUAUGACCUCUGCCUCCGAUUCCGGAGGGUGUGGGUUCGAAUCCUGUCCGGGGCAUGCACCUCCAACUUUUCAGUUGUGUGCAUUUUAAGAAAUUAAAUAUCACGUGUCUCAAUCGGUGAAGGAAAACAUCGUGAGGAAACCUGCAUACCAGAGAAUUAUCUUCAUUCUCUGCGUGUGUGAAGUCCGCCAAUCCGCAUUGGGCCAGCGUGGUGGACUAUUGGCCUAACCCCUCUCAUUCUGAGAGGAGACUCGAGCUCAGCAGUGAGCCGAAUAUGGGUUGAUGACGACGACGACGACAAUUCAAAAAUUUUAAGAACAAAACAUGUACCUACCACAUUGUAGGAAAUAAAUAAAUAAUGAUUUGAUUAAAAACAAUGUUGUUUAAUGUUAAGUUGGUAGGGCCAGGUAGUUAAAGUAGAUACUCUAUAUUUGUGUAACAUCUAUUACUUAAAAAUAAAAAAUAUAUUUACUUG